CUACGGGGGGCUGCAGUGAGGAGUAUUGCACAAUGGGGGGAACCCUGAUGCAGCAACGCCGCGUGGAGGAUGACGCAUUUCGGUGUGUAAACUCCUUUUAUAUGUCAAGAAAAUGACGGUAGCAUAUGAAUAAGCACCGGCUAACUCCGUGCCAGCAGCCGCGGUAUACGGAGGGUGCAAGCGUUACUCGGAAUCACUGGGCGUAAAGGACGCGUAGGCGGGUUGGAAAGUCAGGUGUGAAAUCCUACAGCUUAACUGUAGAACUGCACUUGAAACUUCUAAUCUAGAGUAUGGGAGGGGGAGAUGGAAUUAGUGGUGUAGGGGUAAAAUCCGUAGAUAUCACUAGGAAUACCUAAAGCGAAGGCGAUCUCCUGGAACAUUACUGACGCUAAGGCGUGAAAGCGUGGGGAGCAAACAGGAUUAGAUACCCGCGUAGUC
This 438-nucleotide ribosomal RNA is filed under the name uncultured bacterium. RNAcentral describes it as "partial 16S ribosomal RNA". It matches the Rfam family "Bacterial small subunit ribosomal RNA", at positions 339 to 795 of the family's 1533-position model. The record is from RNAcentral.